GCCCUAGAUAAAAUCUAAGGUGUAACCUGCCCAGUGACUUCUAUAAUAAGUAUAAAAAACCUUGAAUGGAGUUAAAAGGACGCGGUAACCUUGACCGUGGUAAUGUAGCAUAAUCACUCGCCAUUUAAUUGAUGGAUAGUAUGAAUGGUUGAACGAAUAUUCCACUGUCUUAGAAAGAAUUAACAAAAAUUGAAAUAAUAGUUAAGAUGCUAUUUAUUACUGUAAGACGAAAAGACCCUAUAGAGCUUAACUAUAAUCUUUUUUCUAAAAAAGGAAAACAAUCCUUAAAUAAAAAAGAUUGGUAGUUUAGUUGGGGCGACUGCCUUCUAAAAAAAACGAAGGCAAGCAAUGUUGGUAAGUUACUUAUUGUUUAAUUAAUAAAUUUAACAAUUACUAAAGUAGGCUUCAGUGACCCGCUUUCACUUUAUAAGAAGGAAAACGAUCAAUAAAUAAAAGCUACCUUAGGGAUAACAGGAUAAUUUCAUUUUAGAGUUCCUAUCGAAAAUGAAGUUUGUCACCUCUAUGUUGAAUUAAGAUGUCCUGAUAAUGCAGCAGUUAUCAAAGGUAGGUCUGUUCGACCUUUAAAAUCUU
This 591-nucleotide ribosomal RNA is filed under the name Aequorea taiwanensis. RNAcentral's name for it is "partial large subunit ribosomal RNA". It matches the Rfam family "Bacterial large subunit ribosomal RNA", at positions 1831 to 2597 of the family's 2925-position model. The record is from RNAcentral. Lineage: Eukaryota; Metazoa; Cnidaria; Hydrozoa; Leptothecata; Aequoreidae.